This 230-nucleotide ribosomal RNA is filed under the name uncultured bacterium. RNAcentral's name for it is "partial 16S ribosomal RNA". It matches the Rfam family "Bacterial small subunit ribosomal RNA", at positions 15 to 231 of the family's 1533-position model. The record is from RNAcentral.
GAUCCUGGCUCAGGAUGAACGCUAGCUACAGGCUUAACACAUGCAAGUCGAGGGGCAGCAUGGUCUUAGCUUGCUAAGGCUGAUGGCGACCGGCGCACGGGUGAGUAACACGUAUCCAACCUGCCGUCUACUCUUGGCCAGCCUUCUGAAAGGAAGAUUAAUCCAGGAUGGCAUCAUGAGUUCACAUGUCCGCAUGAAUUAAAGGUUAUUUUCCGGUAGACGAGUGGGGA